Molecule: ribosomal RNA, 775 nt
Filed under: uncultured bacterium
Lineage: Bacteria
Description: bacterial SSU rRNA
Rfam family: Bacterial small subunit ribosomal RNA
Source: RNAcentral
GACGAACGCUGGCGGCGUGCCUAAUACAUGCAAGUCGAACGCUUUGAUUUUCACCGGAGCUUGCUCCACCGAAAAUCAAAGAGUGGCGGACGGGUGAGUAACACGUGGGCAACCUGCCCAACAGAGGGGGAUAACACUUGGAAACAGGUGCUAAUACCGCAUAAUUUGUUUUUCCGCAUGGAAGAAUAAUAAAAGACGCUUCGGUGUCACUGUUGGAUGGGCCCGCGCUGCAUUAGUUAGUUGGUGGGGUAACGGCCUACCAAGACCAUGAUGCAUAGCCGACCUGAGAGGGUGAUCGGCCACACUGGGACUGAGACACGGCCCAGACUCCUACGGGAGGCAGCAGUAGGGAAUCUUCGGCAAUGGACGAAAGUCUGACCGAGCAACGCCGCGUGAGUGAAGAAGGUUUUCGGAUCGUAAAACUCUGUUGUUAGAGAAGAACAAGUGAGAGAGUUACUGUUCUCACCUUGACGGUAUCUAACCAGAAAGCCACGGCUAACUACGUGCCAGCAGCCGCGGUAAUACGUAGGUGGCAAGCGUUGUCCGGAUUUAUUGGGCGUAAAGCGAGCGCAGGCGGUUUCUUAAGUCUGAUGUGAAAGCCCUCGGCUCAACCGAGGAAGGUCAUUGGAAACUGGGGAACUUGAGUGCAGAAGAGGAGAGUGGAAUUCCAUGUGUAGCGGUGAAAUGCGUAGAUAUAUGGAGGAACACCAGUGGCGAAGGCGACUCUCUGGUCUGUAACUGACGCUGAGGCUCGAAAGCGUGGGGAGCAAACAGG